Gasterosteus aculeatus aculeatus (three-spined stickleback) is the source of this 1785-nucleotide long non-coding RNA. NCBI's taxonomy places the organism in Eukaryota, Metazoa, Chordata, Actinopteri, Perciformes, Gasterosteidae. The record is from Ensembl.
UUCUGAGUUUGUACUCUAUGGGUGGAAUGCACUUAUUGUAAGUCGCUUUGGAUAAAAGCGUCAGCUAAAUGAAAUGUAAUGUAAUGUAAAAAGUACUUACACAGAGACGCCUAACAUAUUGGUAUGCACAGAGACUAGCUAAACAUAAAAAGCAAAUACAGAAAUACAGUUUAACAACCACAAAUAUAUAAUGUAGAUUUACACAUCCAUACAAACAUGAAAUAAUUAAAAUGUGCAUCAAAUUAAAAUAAUUGGAUCUAUGAAUCUUGUCUCACAUCCUGAUGAUCCUCCUCACGUCUCUUCUCCUUGUCUGCAGACCAACGGGACGCCAUCAGGACGCCAUCAGGACGCCACGUCAACGGGACGCCAUCAGGACGCCACGUCAACGGGACGCCAUCAGGACCUCACGUCAACCCCUCAGGAGCAAAUCCAGAUCUACGCAUGACACACACACACACACCCCCACACACACACACACAGAUACACACUAACAUUUGGUUCUAAACAAAGACACACACUAAUAUUUAGAUGUACACAAAGACACAUUAAUAUUUAGAUGUACACACAGACACACUAACAAUUAGAUGUACACACAUACACACUAUCAUUUGGUUCUAAACAAAGACACACACUAAUAUUUAGAUGUACACAAAGACAUAUUAAUAUUUAGAUGUACAAACAGACACACUAACAUUUAGAUGUACACACAGACACACUAACAAUUAGAUGUACACACAGACACACUAACAUUUGGUUCUACACAAAGACACACACUGACAUUUAGAUGUACACAAAGACACAAUAACAAUUAGAUGUACACACAGACACAUUAGUAUUCAGAAUUACACAAAAACACACAAACAUCUGGUUCUGCACAAAAACACAUUAAUAUUUAAAUGUACCCACGGACCCACUAACAAUUAGAUCCACACACAGACACACUAACAAUUAGAUGUACACACGGACACAUCCUGAUGAUCCUCCUCACGUCUCUUCUCCUUGUCUGCAGACCAACAGGACGCCAUCAGGACGCCACGUCAUCGGGACGCUACGUCAUCGGGACACACUAACAAUUAGAUGUACACACAGACACACUAACAUUUGGUUCUAAACAAAGACACACUAACAUUUAGAUGUACAAAAAGACACACACUAAUAUUUAGAUGUACACAAAGACACACACUAAUAUUUAGAUGUACACAAAGACACACUAACAAUUAGAUGUACACACAGACACACUAACAACAUUAAUAUGUAAAUAACUUUUCUUCUUUUCUCUCUUCUCAGGAACUGCUUCAGAUGUUUUCCCAAUGAUUGUGUUAUUAUAAUUGUUAAAUAUGUCGUCUGUUUAUUAUUUUAACAAUGAAAAUAAAUUUUAAUAAAAAUAAAACCAAAUGAAUCCGUCUUGUUUUCUUCAGACCAAAGAGAAUCACAUGUUCUUUAUUACUCGUUGACUUGAAUGAAGUGAAACAACAAUGAUCUUGAGUUAAUGAGCGUUUGUGUAUUUAAUGACACACAAAGGUUUCAGUCGACAUUUUAAGCAUGAUUUCAAUUGUUGACUCACUUCCUCCUGUAAUCAGACAUCAGGCGGGAGGAUGAGAGAAUAUUUAGUCAAUGAACAUGUUUCCGAUAGGGAACAUUUUGAUUAAAACAUGAAUGCUUCUAAAAAAUGAAGUCAGGCAACUCAAAGCACAAACAAGUUCAAUUCUCUACAAAUAAAGCAAAUUCAAACCCCAAGUUCAUCGGGACGUGUGAGCGUCUCUAAUGACGCAGUCAAGUGCAACU